GGUAUUUAACCAGAAAGCCACGGCUAAUUACGUGCCAGCAGCCGCGGUAAUACGUAGGUGGCAAGCGUUGUCCGGAUUUAUUGGGCGUAAAGCGAGCGCAGGCGGUUUUUUAAGUCUGAUGUGAAAGCCUUCGGCUCAACCGAAGAAGUGCAUCGGAAACUGGGAAACUUGAGUGCAGAAGAGGACAGUGGAACUCCAUGUGUAGCGGUGAAAUGCGUAGAUAUAUGGAAGAACACCAGUGGCGAAGGCGGCUGUCUGGUCUGUAACUGACGCUGAGGCUCGAAAGUAUGGGUAGCAAACAGGAUUAGAUACCCUGGUAGUCCAUACCGUAAACGAUGAAUGCUAAGUGUUGGAGGGUUUCCGCCCUUCAGUGCUGCAGCUAACGCAUUAAGCAUUCCGCCUGGGGAGUACGGCCGCAAGGCUGAAACUCAAAGGAAUUGACGGGGGCCCGCACAAGCGGUGGAGCAUGUGGUUUAAUUCGAAGCUACGCGAAGAACCUUACCAGGUCUUGACAUACUAUGCAAAUCUAAGAGAUUAGACGUUCCCUUCGGGGACAUGGAUACAGGUGGUGCAUGGUUGUCGUCAGCUCGUGUCGUGAGAUGUUGGGUUAAGUCCCGCAACGAGCGCAACCCUUAUUAUCAGUUGCCAGCAUUAAGUUGGGCACUCUGGUGAGACUGCCGGUGACAAACCGGAGGAAGGUGGGGAUGACGUCAAAUCAUCAUGCCCCUUAUGACCUGGGCUACACACGUGCUACAAUGGAUGGUACAACGAGUUGCGAACUCGCGAGAGUAAGCUAAUCUCUUAAAGCCAUUCUCAGUUCGGAUUGUAGGCUGCAACUCGCCUACAUGAAGUCGGAAUCGCUAGUAAUCGCGGAUCAGCAUGCCGCGGUGAAUACGUUCCCGGGCCUUGUACACACCGCCCGUCACACCAUGAGAGUUUGUAACACCCAAAGUCGGUGGGGUAACCUUUAGGAACCAGCCGCUAAGUGACAGAGAUGGGA
RNAcentral lists this ribosomal RNA (1000 nucleotides) under Lactiplantibacillus plantarum. RNAcentral's name for it is "bacterial SSU rRNA". It matches the Rfam family "Bacterial small subunit ribosomal RNA", at positions 474 to 1474 of the family's 1533-position model. The record is from RNAcentral. Lineage: Bacteria; Bacillati; Bacillota; Bacilli; Lactobacillales; Lactobacillaceae.